UAUCCCCCUCCCCCCCGAUUCUCUUCUUCUUCUUCAUCUCAUCUCUUUGCGGCGACCAUCAUUGCCACCCGUAGCCGCCACUCGCCGCUGUUCGUCCCAUCACCCCUUGUCGCCGCCGAAACCCCCCUCCCCUUCCAUUUCGCAAUUUCCUCUCAUUCCGUCGCCCAACGCCGCUGCCGUGAGUUGCUCGCCAUCGGUCCGCCACCUCCACUCCUCUUGCUUAAGGGGCUCGAGGAGAGGAGGCAUGAGUGUGGCCAUGGGAGGACGUCAUAUGGAGUGCGCAGGCCGAAUGGGCCACAUGUGGGGAAUUCCGAGGAAAAUGAUGUUCAUGGCGGCGGGGGCCUUCGCCAAGACUGUCGCAAAUCUUCUGAACACCACCACCGUCCACAACGCCAAUACUCUCAUUUGCCUUGUUCGACGCCGACCUCCCGGAGUGCCCCUUGUCACUGUUAGCAAUCACAUGUCCACGUUAGACGAUCCAGUCAUGUGGGGAUUUAAAGGUUUUCCAACCUCAGACGCGACAUUGGGUAGGUGGGUGCUAGCUGCGGAGGAUAUCUGCUUCAAGAACGCACUGCUAUCUUAUUUCUUCCGACUAGGAAAAUGUAUACCUAUUACUAGGGGUGCGGGAAUUCAUCAAGAACAUAUGGUUGAAGCACUUGAGCACUUAAGGAAUGGAGAAUGGCUCCAUACUUUUCCUGAAGGUAAGGUGAUCCAAGAAGAUGUGCCUAUUCGGCGACUAAAGUGGGGAACAGCUAGUCUUAUUGUUCGUUCUCCUAUAACACCGAUAGUUCUGCCCAUUGUCCAUCGUGGCUUUGAGGAGAUAAUGCCUGAAAAAUAUCUCUUUGGUAGGAGGCCUCCUGUUCCCUUGUGCGGUAAGAAGAUUGAGAUUAUUGUGGGUGAGCCUAUUCAAUUCGACCUUCCUAGCAUGAAGCAGAUGGCGAUUGCCAUGUCUCGUGAUUGGUCACCUCCUCUACUAGGAUGGCCUACCAUUGAAGAACCAACGCGACUGGAUGAGGCUGCACAGAGGUUCUUGUAUGGUCAUAUCUCAGAUCAAAUCCGAGGUGUUAUGGAGAGAUUACGUGGUAAACGAUUAUAGAAGCUGAAGGUUUAAAUUUGCCUUCUAAAAAUAGCACUAUGGCCCACACGUGAGAUGAUUUAGGCUUCUUACAUUUUCUCGUGGAUAACAUUAUUUUCAAGAUUUGUUUGGCCUACACAAUACACAUUUUGGCAAUCUCAAUGCUUGUGCAGAUCUUUGGUUUGCAGCUUGGACGACAGGCUCACUCUCAUGUUCUAAAGCAUGGAUUUCGAUUUCAAUUGGGAGAACAGUCGGAUAUUUAUGUUGGGAAUUCUCUAACAACGUACGAAACGAGCUGGAUAUGCUGGCAGCAAUGAAAUUAAUGAAGAACAGCAGAAAGAUCAUGACAUACCCUCAUGUUACCAAAUUGAAAUGCCAUAUACGGGUAACUAGAUUCUUCAUUCGGAUGUGUCUCAAUCAAUCAUGUGAAGGGCUUAGAUCUUUUCAUCUUGUUUGGUUUGAUUUUUCCUAAUGUUGAGGGUGUUGUUUCCCUUGAUUUUAAAGGGUACAUUGAGGUGAUAGAACCAUACUGAUUUUGCCUGUGUUUUUUGGAGAGAUAAGAAGAAACAAUUGGAAAGACUUUAAAUAUAGAGUAUAGGGUCGGUAACCAACCUGAAUACAAUUUAACUAGUUAAGACAUUUUUCUUUAUGAAUAUUUGAAUUCUCCUCCCACAUGUUGAAAAGUACAGGGAGGGUGGGUUGUGUAGGACUUGUGGGAGAGUCAUUUUGUUGCUUCAUUAUGAACUUCCAAAUGAAGAAAUUUGUAGCA
Molecule: non-coding RNA, 1844 nt
Organism: Momordica charantia (bitter melon)
Lineage: Eukaryota; Viridiplantae; Streptophyta; Magnoliopsida; Cucurbitales; Cucurbitaceae
Source: RefSeq, a predicted model, not a curated record